RNAcentral lists this long non-coding RNA (875 nucleotides) under Prunus dulcis (almond). Its description in RNAcentral is "sRNA ncRNA". Lineage: Eukaryota; Viridiplantae; Streptophyta; Magnoliopsida; Rosales; Rosaceae. The record is from RNAcentral.
CACAAGAUCGUUUCCUGAUCCGUAAACUCUCGGGGUCCGGUCUAAAGCGAUGUUACAGUUCUUAUACAUUACGCAUUGCUAUUCUUAAGAGCAACAACUUUUUUUUAAAAAUGAUUUCUUUAUUAUCUCAAAUUAAGAACAAUAAUGUUUAUAUGAUUUCUUUAUUAUCUGAGCUAUGAAAUUUGAUAUUAUUGAUAAUGAAGUGAUUAUGAAAAUAUUUCAAGAGAUGAAUGAUUGUGAAUGUAUUGGAAUAACAUAUAUGAGUUAUUACUAAAGACUUUGUAUUAUUAGAUAAAUUUAUCUUGUUUUGCGAUGAUUCUAUUAUUUGAGGUUGACCCUCCUUGAUUAAUUUUCUGGCUCUGCCCUUGCUGAUAGGUCCCAAUCACAAGUGGUUCUGUUCCUGUGGAACCAUACCAAGGGAGGAAACUCAAAGAGAACCUUCUUCUGCUGUGUAGUUUGGAUAACGGGUGCUUGUUUAUAGAAAAAUAUUCUCUCUUCCGCUCAAUAUAUUAUUUGAGAAUAUCAUGGUACGGGUAAUGCGUUUCCUCCUCAAAUUGAAUAUAUAGAAAACGGAGAACAAAAUAUGGAUUAGAGAUGAGAAUAUACCAACUUUUCGACACACACUUGGAGAAACGACAGGCUUGCUGCGAUUCUAAUUUGGGUAUAAUUAGUAUGACAUUUUCAUUAAUUUUCUUUUCAUUUAUUUCCGUUUGUUUUUUAUUUAAUUUUUUGGUUUUAAAAAGAUGAUUGAUACAUGCUGUAAGAAGCAAAGCGAGAAGAAGUUCACUAGCAAUGUUGUUUUGUCCACUAGAGGGAAGAAUUUUUUGGUUACGCUACGUUACUGUUACUUGUUUUGUUCACUAAUAUCAAAUUAG